This 818-nucleotide ribosomal RNA is filed under the name Corokia macrocarpa. Its description in RNAcentral is "eukaryotic LSU rRNA". The stretch from base 379 to 534 matches the Rfam family "5.8S ribosomal RNA". Lineage: Eukaryota; Viridiplantae; Streptophyta; Magnoliopsida; Asterales; Argophyllaceae. The record is from RNAcentral.
GGCGGUUCGCCGCCGGCGACGUCGCGAGAAGUCCACUGAACCUUAUCAUUUAGAGGAAGGAGAAGUCGUAACAAGGUUUCCGUAGGUGAACCUGCGGAAGGAUCAUUGUCAAAACCUGCAAAGCAGAACGACCCGCGAACAAGUACGAAAUGCUCGGGUGGUCGUGCGGGGAUGGGGCGCUAGCYCCGGACCCGAGGGCCCCUGGCCGACGCGCGUGCGGAGCCCCCCGCAGUGGGGGUGCCGUUCGUCGCCCGGCGCAACAAACUAAUCACGGCGCGGACCGCGCCAAGGAAAACUACAACUUGAGAGAGUGCGUCCCUCGCCGCCCCGUCCUCGGUGUGCUCGGGGGGCCGGUCGCCUCUAAGUAAAAACAUUGACGACUCUCGGCAACGGAUAUCUCGGCUCUCGCAUCGAUGAAGAACGUAGCGAAAUGCGAUACUUGGUGUGAAUUGCAGAAUCCCGCGAACCAUCGAGUCUUUGAACGCAAGUUGCGCCCGAAGCCAUUAGGCCGAGGGCACGUCUGCCUGGGCGUCACGCCUCGCGUCGCCCCCCAAGCCCGAACCCUGGCAACGGGUGCGCGGGUUGUAGGGGGCGGAUACUGGCCUCCCGUGCCCCGGCGCGCGGCUGGCCCAAAAUUGGGUCCUCGUCGAUGGACGCACGGCAAGUGGUGGUUGGCUAGGCCCUCGCGUUUGUAGUCGUGCACCACCCACUCGACGGAGUCGGCUCAUGUGUGACCCCGACGCGUCGUUAACGACGUCGCUCCGACCGCGACCCCAGGUCAGGCGGGACUACCCGCUGAGUUUAAGCAUAUCAAUAAG